Molecule: transfer RNA, 85 nt
Filed under: uncultured Clostridium sp.
Lineage: Bacteria; Bacillati; Bacillota; Clostridia; Eubacteriales; Clostridiaceae
Description: tRNA-Leu(caa)
Rfam family: tRNA
About the family: Transfer RNA (tRNA) molecules are approximately 80 nucleotides in length. Their secondary structure includes four short double-helical elements and three loops (D, anti-codon, and T loops).
Source: RNAcentral
UGCCGGCGUGGCGGAAUGGCAGACGCAUCAGACUCAAAAUCUGACGGGGGUAACUUCGUGCCGGUUCGAGUCCGGCCGCCGGCAG